RNAcentral lists this ribosomal RNA (421 nucleotides) under uncultured bacterium. RNAcentral describes it as "bacterial SSU rRNA". It matches the Rfam family "Bacterial small subunit ribosomal RNA", at positions 355 to 774 of the family's 1533-position model. The record is from RNAcentral.
UAGGGAAUAUUGGUCAAUGGACGCAAGUCUGAACCAGCCAUGCCGCGUGAAGGAUGAAGGUCCUCUGGAUUGUAAACUUCUUUUAUCUGGGACGAAAACGGGAUUUUUAUCUCAAUUGACGGUACCAGAGGAAUAAGCACCGGCUAACUCCGUGCCAGCAGCCGCGGUAAUACGGGGGGUGCGAGCGUUAUCCGGAUUUACUGGGUUUAAAGGGUGCGUAGGUGGGCUUAUAAGUCAGUGGUGAAAUCUCCGAGCUUAACUUGGAAACUGCCGUUGAUACUAUAGGUCUUGAAUUAUCUGGAGGUCAGCGGAAUAUGUCAUGUAGCGGUGAAAUGCUUAGAUAUGACAUAGAACACCAAUUGCGAAGGCAGCUUACUACAUAUAAAUUGACGCUGAGGCACGAAAGCGUGGGGAUCAAACA